GGAAGGUGCAAGCGUUAAUCGGAAUUACUGGGCGUAAAGCGCGCGUAGGCGGCUAGAUAAGUCGGGUGUGAAAGCCCUGGGCUCAACCUGGGAACUGCAUUCGAUACUGUCUAGCUAGAGUGUGGUAGAGGGAGGCGGAAUUCCGCAUGUAGCGGUGAAAUGCGUAGAGAUGCGGAGGAACACCAAUGGCGAAGGCAGCCUUCUGGACCAACACUGACGCUGAGGCGCGAAAGCGUGGGGGGAGCAAACAGGAUUAGAUACCCUGGUAGUCCACGCCCGUAAACCGAUGUCAACUAGCCGUUGGGAGCAAUUUGGUUCUUGGUGGCGCAGCUAACGCGAUAAGUUGACCCGCCUGGGGAGUACGGUCGCAAGAUUA
This 376-nucleotide ribosomal RNA is filed under the name uncultured organism. Its description in RNAcentral is "partial 16S ribosomal RNA". It matches the Rfam family "Bacterial small subunit ribosomal RNA", at positions 527 to 896 of the family's 1533-position model. The record is from RNAcentral.